This 482-nucleotide ribosomal RNA is filed under the name uncultured bacterium. RNAcentral describes it as "partial 16S ribosomal RNA". It matches the Rfam family "Bacterial small subunit ribosomal RNA", at positions 30 to 507 of the family's 1533-position model. The record is from RNAcentral.
AUUGAACGCUGGCGGCAUGCUUUACACAUGCAAGUCGAACGGUAACAGGCCGCAAGGUGCUGACGAGUGGCGAACGGGUGAGUAAUGCAUCGGAACGUGCCCAGUCGUGGGGGAUAACUACUCGAAAGAGUAGCUAAUACCGCAUACGAUCUAUGGAUGAAAGCGGGGGACCGUAAGGCCUCGCUCGAUUGGAGCGGCCGAUGUCAGAUUAGGUAGUUGGUGGGGUAAAGGCUCACCAAGCCAACGAUCUGUAGCUGGUCUGAGAGGACGACCAGCCACACUGGGACUGAGACACGGCCCAGACUCCUACGGGAGGCAGCAGUGGGGAAUUUUGGACAAUGGGCGCAAGCCUGAUCCAGCAAUGCCGCGUGCAGGAAGAAGGCCUUCGGGUUGUAAACUGCUUUUGUACGGAACGAAACGGCUCUGGUUAAUACCCGGGGCUAAUGACGGUACCGUAAGAAUAAGCACCGGCUAACUACGUG